RNAcentral lists this ribosomal RNA (484 nucleotides) under uncultured bacterium. Its description in RNAcentral is "partial 16S ribosomal RNA". It matches the Rfam family "Bacterial small subunit ribosomal RNA", at positions 30 to 507 of the family's 1533-position model. The record is from RNAcentral.
AUUGAACGCUGGCGGCAGGCUUAACACAUGCAAGUCGAACGGUUAAAGGCAGCAUGCUCCUGAAGUCUGCGGCGGGCGGGUGAAAUGUGCCUAAAAAUGUGCCUGCUAGUGGGAUAUAACGUCCGGAAACGGGCGCUAAUAGCGCAUACGUCCUGAGUGAGAGAGUGGGGCAUUAUCGGCCCGCACGCUAUCAGCUGACCCUAGGUCGGAUUAGCUAGUUGGUGGGGUAAAGGCAUACCAAGGCGACGAUCCGUAGCUGGUCUGAGAGGAUGAUCAGUCACACUGGGACUGAGACACGGUCCAGACUCCUACGGGAGGCAGCAGUGGGGAAUAUUGGACAAUGGGCGAAAGCCUGAUCCAGCAAUGCCGCGUGUGUGAAGAAGGCCUUCGGAUUGUAAAGUACUUUAGGUUGGAAGGAAGGGGAGUUAGUUAAUACCUUGGUGUAUUGACGUUACCAACAGAAUAAGCACCGGCUAACUACGUG